Molecule: ribosomal RNA, 253 nt
Filed under: uncultured bacterium
Lineage: Bacteria
Description: partial 16S ribosomal RNA
Rfam family: Archaeal small subunit ribosomal RNA
Source: RNAcentral
UACCAGCACCCCGAGUGGUCGGUACGAUUAUUGGGCCUAAAGCAUCCGUAGCCGGUCCUGCAAGUCUUCCGUUAAAUCCAGCUGCUCAACAGAUGGGCUGCGGAGGAUACUACAGGGCUAGGAGGCGGGAGAGGCAAGCGGUACUUUAUGGGUAGGGGUAAAAUCCGUUGAUCCAUAGAAGACCACCAGUGGCGAAGGCGGCUUGCCAGAACGCGCUCGACGGUGAGGGAUGAAAGCUGGGGGAGCAAACCGG